RNAcentral lists this long non-coding RNA (399 nucleotides) under Musa acuminata (dwarf banana). Its description in RNAcentral is "long non-coding RNA (MACU_LNC009898)". The record is from RNAcentral. Lineage: Eukaryota; Viridiplantae; Streptophyta; Magnoliopsida; Zingiberales; Musaceae.
UCAAGAUCACGAUAAAAAACCUCAUUAGGGAGAUCUUCGUCAGAGGAAACCAGUACACAUGCUCGGGCAAAUGUUAAUCUCGUCUGCGCAGCUGUUGCUUUAUCAAUAUAGAGUGGCUGUCCCAAAGUACUGCAUAACUUUGCAAUAAAACGUCGACUCCAAAGAUGUAGAGGGAGACCUUGAAACGAUACCCAUAAGGGAAUAGACUGUAGACUGUCUAACUCCAAACGGACAUCAGGGGACCAACGUCGUAGAAUUAUUGGAUGGCCACGAAUAGUCCAGAACCCUUCAAGGACCCAUUGCAAAUCUUCUUCAAAGUAUAGCUUGCAAACAAAGAAACCGUUCUCCAGCAUAUGAAGGUCAAAUGCCGAUGUUCCCCAUCUAGUUUUUAUAAAUGAC